RNAcentral lists this ribosomal RNA (401 nucleotides) under Austroplebeia australis. RNAcentral's name for it is "partial 16S large subunit ribosomal RNA". Lineage: Eukaryota; Metazoa; Arthropoda; Insecta; Hymenoptera; Apidae. The record is from RNAcentral.
CAGUAUAACUAACUGUACAAAGGUAGCAUAAUCAAUUGAUUUUUAAAUGAAAUCUGGAAUGAAAGGAUUAAUGAAAUAUAUACUGUCUCAUAUAUAUAUUUACGAAUUUAAAAUUUUAAUAAAAAUGUUAAAAUUUAUUUAUGGGACGAUAAGACCCUAUAGAAUUUUAUAUUAAUUUAUUUAUUUAAUUAAUAAAUAAUUUAAAUUAAUAUUUAAUUGGGAGGAUUAUUAAAUUUAAAAAACUUUAAUUUAUAUAAACUUUAAUUAAAGAAAAUAUUAUGAUCUUGAAUUUUAAAUUAUUAGAAUAAAUUACCUUAGGGAUAACAGCGUAAUAUUUUUUUAUAGAUCUUAUAGAAAAAAAUGAUUGCGACCUCGAUGUUGAAUUAAGAUAAAUUUUUAAU